Molecule: ribosomal RNA, 403 nt
Filed under: bacterium
Lineage: Bacteria
Description: partial 16S ribosomal RNA
Rfam family: Bacterial small subunit ribosomal RNA
Source: RNAcentral
UGGGGAAUAUUGCACAAUGGGGGAAACCCUGAUGCAGCGACGCCGCGUGAACGAAGAAGGUAUUCGUAUCGUAAAGUUCUGUCCUAUGGGAAGAUAAUGACAGUACCAUAGAAGAAAGCUCCGGCUAAAUACGUGCCAGCAGCCGCGGUAAUACGUAUGGAGCGAGCGUUGUCCGGAAUUAUUGGGCGUAAAGGUUACGCAGGCGGUUUAAUAAGUCGAAUGUUAAAGAUCGGGGCUCAACCCCGCAAAGCAUUGGAAACUGAUAAACUUGAGUAGUGGAGAGGAAAGUGGAAUUCCUAGUGUAGUGGUGAAAUACGUAGAUAUUAGGAGGAAUACCAGUAGCGAAGGCGACGUUCUGGACACAAACUGACGCUGAGGUACGAAAGCGUGGGGAGCAAACAGG